CUCCAAUAGCGUAUAUUAAAGUUGUUGCAGUUAAAAAGCUCGUAGUUGAACCUCAGACCUGGCCGGGCGGUCCGCCUCACGGCGUGUACUGUCUGGCUGGGCCUUACCUCUUGGUGAGCCGGCGUGCCCUUCGUUGGUGUGCGUCGGGGAACCAGGACCUUUACCUUGAGAAAAUUAGAGUGUUCAAAGCAGGCCUAUGCCCGAAUACAUUAGCAUGGAAUAAUGAAAUAGGACGUGCGGUUCUAUUUUGUUGGUUUCUAGAGUCGCCGUAAUGAUUAAUAGGGAUAGUUGGGGGCAUUGGUAUUGAGCCGCUAGAGGUGAAAUUCUUGGAUUGGCUCAAGACCGACUACUGCGAAAGCAUUUGCCAAGGAUGUUUUCAUUAAUCAAGAACGAAGGUUAGGGGAUCGAAAACGAUCAGAUACCGUUGUAGUCUUAACAG
This 439-nucleotide ribosomal RNA is filed under the name Volvariella volvacea. RNAcentral's name for it is "SSU rRNA". It matches the Rfam family "Eukaryotic small subunit ribosomal RNA", at positions 589 to 1032 of the family's 1831-position model. The record is from RNAcentral. Lineage: Eukaryota; Fungi; Basidiomycota; Agaricomycetes; Agaricales; Pluteaceae.